Molecule: ribosomal RNA, 253 nt
Filed under: uncultured bacterium
Lineage: Bacteria
Description: partial 16S ribosomal RNA
Rfam family: Bacterial small subunit ribosomal RNA
Source: RNAcentral
UACGGGGGGUGCAAGCGUUAUUCGGAAUUAUUGGGCGUAAAGGGCGCGUAGGCGGUUGAAUAAGUCAGAUGUGAAAGCCCUUGGCUUAACCAAGGAAGUGCAUUUGAUACUAUUUGACUUGAGUAUGGGAGAGGGAAGUGGAAUUCCUGGUGUAGCGGUGAAAUGCGUAGAUAUCAGGAGGAACACCAGUGGCGAAGGCGGCCGUCUGGCCCGCAACCGACGCUGAAACACGAAAGCGUGGGGAGCAAACCGG